Hippocampus comes (tiger tail seahorse) is the source of this 1860-nucleotide long non-coding RNA. RefSeq lists it as uncharacterized. NCBI's taxonomy places the organism in Eukaryota, Metazoa, Chordata, Actinopteri, Syngnathiformes, Syngnathidae. The transcript has 3 exons. The record is from RefSeq and is a predicted model, not a curated record.
UAGUGCUCACCAGUCUCAAAAAUGUCACAAUUGCCCGCUAGUCAUCGAAAACUCGAACAUGUCCACAAGUUUGAAUGAACCUGUGAACCUUUUUCCCCUGUGAUUAACUGGCGACCAGUUGAGGUUGUACUCUGCCUCUUACAAGAGUCAUUUAGAAAAUGGAUGGGUUGAUCUCUCAAUGGAAAUUAUCCACGUAGCUUAUUCCACGAGAGGACACAUUCUGCUUAUUUUCUAAAUGCAAACUUUCAAUUGUUUUGAAGAGCAAUCACACACCUGACAUUUUCUGAAGUGUUGUGCAUUCUUACUGAUCUCCAUGUCUCAACUUUGUAGACAUUUCCGCUGGUCUUUUAAGAAAAGGUUAAAGGUGAAUUGCAUCCUCCAUCGCACAGCAACACGCAACACCUGCGAUAAAACGGAUGCGGGUUAAAACAAAGCCCGGUUGACGCGACACUGAAGAGCUCUCUUUGUGCACCUCGGCACGGAUAACCCUCUGCAGUAAAGACACGACAUGACACAGCCAUCAAUUACCACUCGGCGUGUUCUCGCCAUACAGUGAAAAAUGGCAUUGACUUUUACAAAUGUUACAUCCCUGCUAAGAGAGGCACUAACUCACUCGACUGCACACAACAGCAAUCUAUCUAAGAGACACAUUUCUAAAAAUAUAUAUAUUUUUAUUUUACAGUGACAUUCUGCUGGAAGUCGCCCGGCUGUGAUGAAUUUCCUCCCACAGAGAGUUUGUCACUGAGCCACGAUGACCUCGACAGGAAGUUGUCAUUUGCCGGGAGGAAGUGAGGAUUCCAGCGUCCACGGAGGGAGAUGCAUGACGAGGUUGCGGCUUUGAAGAAGUGGAAUGCCACUUUCAGCCUGCGAGGGUCGCUCAGGAAUCUACACCGACUGGCCGCAACAUUAGGAAGUGACAUCAAGCAGAUCCUCAGCAGGCUAUGGGAAAACCAAAAGUAAAUUCACUCAUUUAUUUUUCUGCAUUUUUUUAUGAGAUUAAUCUGCUUAGUGUCAACAUAAUAUUAGCAUCUAUGGCUAUACAGUAUUUAAUCCAUUUGCUAAUUCAAUGCUAAACUUUUUUUUUUUUUAGUCCUGUUACUCAAAUGAGGACUUUCAGCACAAAUGCAGACAAUUCUGAGUACUUGAAUGUUUUUGUUUUGUUUUUAAAACAGAUUUAGGAUUGAGCAAUUAUGCAAAUUGUAAUUUUGGUGGAAUGAGCCUAAUGCAGUUGUCACCUCAUCAUGUAACAAAUAAUUGAACUCUCCGAUUGAUUGUAAUAUAUACUGCUAAAAAAUAAAUAAAGGGGACACGUAAACAGCGCAAUGUAACUCUCAAGUGUUCCCUUUAUUUUUUGGAGCAGUAUAUAACGUUCACAGCAAAUGAACCCUUUCACGCACCCUCUAACCUGAUCAGAUGAUAAACUGUCCACGGUAGUAACCGCUGUCCCUGAAAGGGUUCAAUAUCAAAUCACAAGUCGGUGAAAAUUGUGACACACAAAUAUUGAUGACACGACUGUAGUUCACUUUCUGUUAAAAAGGAGUUUAGUGUGGAAAAUGCUUGCAAUCUGUGAAAAGUGAAGAAAAUGAGCCAUUUUGCUUCAGGUUUUCUGUCAAAAUGAAGGGAACAAACCCAGGCGUUUGUUCCAUUCACACUUGUGGACAAUUCAUCCGAAGAGUAGUCCAAUCCCGAUGUCAUUCAGGGUGAAUCUUUCUCAAUGAUUGAGCACGUCGGAGACUUUUUGGUCUGCAUCUUUUAUUCGGUUUUUGUGUAAAAUUCAAUGGAUUUAACAUUGGAUAUAUUCAUAGAUACAUCUAACAUACAACAAAUAUGUCAUAACCAAACGUACAACGUCCCUUUACC